Molecule: long non-coding RNA, 609 nt
Filed under: Marmota monax (woodchuck)
Lineage: Eukaryota; Metazoa; Chordata; Mammalia; Rodentia; Sciuridae
Source: RNAcentral
CCAGAGCUCAGGCUCCCCCGUAUGGGCUUGGAGCAUCCCUGGUGGACUGCAGCCGUCCCCUCCCCCUUGGGACCUUCAUGGACACCUCUCCUGCUCCACGGGUGCUGCAGUGCGGGUGGGAGGGAGACUGUCAGUCCCUCCCACUUUGGAAAAGGCGUGGAGAUGCGUGGGUGCUUCUCAGAGGGCUUGAUGUGCCUACACGAUCCUAGGACACGGCUUCGUCACAGGGCAGGACUGCCACGGUGUCACUCAGUAACAAGAGUCAUGACGAGACGUGAGCUACGCGGAAGGGCAUGAACAUCUUCAGGAGGCCUGGGAUCCUCUCGUGGAGGUGGCAGACCAGUGACACCAGCCCUGUAGCACCAGCCUGGCACAUGUCCUCUCCCUUUCCACACAGAGCCUCCUCUUGAGCUGGCACAGUGGCUCACACCUGUGAUCCCAGCCACUUGGGAGGCUGAGGCAGGAGGAUCACAAAUUUGAGGCUGGUCUCAGCAACCCAGGACCUCAACAACUUAGUGGGACUCUUAAAAUUAAAAAUAAUCACAUUCUGCAAUCUGCAUACGGGGUAAAAAUGGGAGUUCAUAACCCACUUGAAUCAAAUGUAUGAAA